GUUGCCAUAACUUAACGGUAGAGUGGUUAGCUGUUAACUAAUUUGCGGAGGUUCGACUCCUCCUGGCGACU
RNAcentral lists this transfer RNA (71 nucleotides) under Rhodanobacter glycinis. RNAcentral describes it as "tRNA-Asn". It matches the Rfam family "tRNA". From Rfam's summary of the family: Transfer RNA (tRNA) molecules are approximately 80 nucleotides in length. Their secondary structure includes four short double-helical elements and three loops (D, anti-codon, and T loops). Further hydrogen bonds mediate the characteristic L-shaped molecular structure. tRNAs have two regions of fundamental functional importance: the anti-codon, which is responsible for specific mRNA codon recognition, and the 3' end, to which the tRNAs corresponding amino acid is attached (by aminoacyl-tRNA synthetases). tRNAs cope with the degeneracy of the genetic code in two manners: having more than one tRNA (with a specific anti-codon) for a particular amino acid; and 'wobble' base-pairing, i.e. permitting non-standard base-pairing at the 3rd anti-codon position. The record is from RNAcentral. Lineage: Bacteria; Pseudomonadati; Pseudomonadota; Gammaproteobacteria; Lysobacterales; Rhodanobacteraceae.